GAUGAACGCUGGCGGCGUGCCUAAUACAUGCAAGUCGAACGAACAGACGCGGAGCUUGCUCCUCUGACGUUGGCGACGGACGGGUGAGUAACACGUGGAUAACCUUCCUCUAUGACUGGGAUAACUUCGGGAAGCCGUAGCUACUACCAGAUAAUAUAUUGAACCGCAUGGUGCAAUAGUGAAAGACGGUUUUUGUGUCGCUUAUCGACGGAUCCGCGCCGCGUUAGCUAGUUGGUAAGGUAACGGCUUACCAAGGCAACGAUGCGUAGCCGACCUGAGAGGGUGAUCGGCCACCCGGGAACUGAGACACGGUCCAGGGUCCUACGGGAGGCAGCAGUAGGGAAUGGUCCGCAAUGGGCGAAAGCCUGACGGAGUAACGGCGCGUGAGUGACGACGGUCUUCGGAUCGGAAAACCCUGUUAUUAGGGAAGAACCACUGUGUAAGUAGAUAAACACGUCGUGACGGUACCUAAAGAGAAAGCAACGGCUAACUACGUG
This 497-nucleotide ribosomal RNA is filed under the name uncultured bacterium. Its description in RNAcentral is "partial 16S ribosomal RNA". It matches the Rfam family "Bacterial small subunit ribosomal RNA", at positions 28 to 507 of the family's 1533-position model. The record is from RNAcentral.